This is a non-coding RNA of Vicia faba (fava bean), 303 nucleotides long. The record is from the annotation of a GenBank genome assembly. Lineage: Eukaryota; Viridiplantae; Streptophyta; Magnoliopsida; Fabales; Fabaceae.
AUGUGUGAGGAUUGGUCAACCUAUCUUUUCAAUCCUCUUAAGCCACAAUUCCCUUUGAAUGUUCUCGUGCCAAGUGAGCCACAAAACACUAGUGUUGGUGGGGACAACGUUGAAUCAUCCAAAUUGGUUGUUGAUGAAUCUCACAAACAAAUUAUAGAUCCCAUUGAUGCACCAGCAGCUGAUUCAUCUCUCGUGCCGAAGAAGAUUAACUCUGGUGUUGAUGCAGGGUCGUCGGCAACGCCACAAAAGGUGAAUCAACUUAAUAAAGCUCCCAAAAAGAAAUGUCUUCCAAAGUUCAAAUGA